This 298-nucleotide signal recognition particle RNA is filed under the name Cebus imitator (Panamanian white-faced capuchin). RNAcentral's name for it is "Metazoan signal recognition particle RNA (ENSCCAG00000006321.1)". It matches the Rfam family "Metazoan signal recognition particle RNA". Rfam says of the family: The signal recognition particle (SRP) is a universally conserved ribonucleoprotein. It is involved in the co-translational targeting of proteins to membranes. Lineage: Eukaryota; Metazoa; Chordata; Mammalia; Primates; Cebidae. The record is from RNAcentral.
GCCAGGCGCGGUGGCGCGUGCUUGUAGUCCCAGCUACUCCGGAGGCUGAGGUGGGAGGAUCCUUGAGCACAGGAGUUCUGGGCUGUAGUGCACUAUGCCGAUUGGGUGUCCACGCUAAGUUUGGCAUCAAUAUGGUGACCUCCUGGGAGUGGGGGACCACCAGGUUGCCUAAGGAGGGGUGAACCGGACCAAGUCAGAAACGGAGCAGGUCAAAACUCCCGUGCUGAUCAGCAGUGGGAUCAUGCCUGUGAAUAGCCACUGCACUCCAGCCUGGGCAACAUAGCGAGACCCCGUCUCU